AAGUAGCUGCUAUUUAAGUACUAAGGUAGCACAAUAAAUUGCCUCCUAAUUAGAGGAUAGUAUGAAAGAGCCAACGAAUUAAUCAUUAUCUUUCAAUAAUAUAAUGUAAACUUACUCAAAAGUAAAAAGGCUUUUAAAAUAAAGAAGGACGACAAGACCCUAUCGAACUUUAACUAAAAGUUAGGUUGGGGAAGCCUAAUAAAAAAACCUUAUUAAAAAUCAAUAAUAUAAGAACCGUAUAAUAUUAAUAAAGAACAAGUUACCGUAGGGAUAACAGCACAAUUCUGUUACAGAGUACCAAUCAAAAACAGAAGCUUGUGACCUCGAUGUUGAAUUAACACACAAUAAGAAGCAAUAUUCUUAAUACCAAUGUAGGUCUGUUCGACCAUAAAAAAGUUACAUGAUUUGAGUUCAGACCGGCGUAAGCCAGGUCGGUUUCUAUCCUCUUAAACCCUACUUUAGUACGAAAGGACCAAGUAAGCUUUACUCAACUAGCAAACAAAAAUGCAUUAGAAUUAGAAUCUAAAAAUUCCCACAUAACCAUUAUUCUAACAGCCUUAAUAUUUAUUUCUAUCACACUAGCUACCGCAUUUAUUACACUGAUAGAACGCAGGAUACUAAGAUACAUUCAAACACGAAAAGGACCAAACAAAGUAGGCCCCAUAGGAUUAUUACAACCAUUCAGAGAUGCUAUAAAACUAAUCCACAAGAAUAAUAUAAAACUAAUCAAUACCAACUCAUUAUCCUAUAUAAUAUCACCCUUAUUAACAUUUACAAUUACCUUAAUACUAAUAACCACUAUAUCAUGAGACAUAUUUUCUUCAUUCGACCAAUCAUUUUCAAUAUUAUCAUUCAUGAUACUAUCAAGAUUAUUAAUCUACC
This 882-nucleotide ribosomal RNA is filed under the name Scytodes socialis. RNAcentral describes it as "partial 16S ribosomal RNA". The stretch from base 1 to 490 matches the Rfam family "Bacterial large subunit ribosomal RNA", at positions 1925 to 2925 of the family's 2925-position model. The record is from RNAcentral. Lineage: Eukaryota; Metazoa; Arthropoda; Arachnida; Araneae; Scytodidae.